AUGGCAUGCUACCCUUGCAACCCGCUCCCCCACCUUCCACCUGGUACGACGAUCAUCCCCGGUCCUCUCCGUGCUCGCCGUGGAUAUGUGGUUCUUGGAGGUGACCUACCGAUGGUCUGCGAUGAGUGGGAAAUCGCCACGCUCGUACCCGAGGUAUCAGCUGAGGAGUUUCAUGGUGCCAUUGCUCUGAUCACGAACUACCUGGAGGGACGUGGAUGGCGCAUCAACUACACUUCCCGCUGUGGUAUGGGUACUGCUUUGGUUCAGUUUACUACUGCCUGUUCGCGUGAUACUGCUGUCAGUCUAAGCCCGUUGCAGAUUGGGGACUCUGUUCUUAGGAUUAGCAAGCAGGAUAGAGGUCUUAAUUACCGCAGCAUUACUUUCACACAUGAUGUAUGGAUCCUACUUAUGAAUUAUCCAUUAGAAUGCUGGGAUGUUGGGGUGAUUAGUCGCACUGUGUCACCAUAUGGUCGCUUUUUGAUCUGGAACAAGGAUCCAAGGGACAAAGCAAGGGUUAUUGUUAAACUCAGGGUCAUGAAUGUUGACAAUAUUCCUAUCAGUCUAGUUGUUCUGAGGAACCUUGAUGAUGUUGGAUAUGGUGACUCAUGGACUUGCCCAACAUAUAUACUGUCGAGGGAUCUGAUUGGUCAGCAAGGGGGUGAUGAGAACCCAUUGCCACCUGAUGGUGGAAACCCUCAUCCCCUCCCUCAUGUUCAUGGAGGUUUCUGG
This 729-nucleotide ribosomal RNA is filed under the name Triticum aestivum (bread wheat). RNAcentral describes it as "partial small subunit ribosomal RNA". Lineage: Eukaryota; Viridiplantae; Streptophyta; Magnoliopsida; Poales; Poaceae. The record is from RNAcentral.